RNAcentral lists this ribosomal RNA (468 nucleotides) under uncultured bacterium. Its description in RNAcentral is "partial 16S ribosomal RNA". It matches the Rfam family "Bacterial small subunit ribosomal RNA", at positions 28 to 507 of the family's 1533-position model. The record is from RNAcentral.
GACGAACGCUGGCGGCGUGCUUAACACAUGCAAGUCGAACGGAAAGGCCCUGCUUUUGUGGGGUGCGCGAGUGGCGAACGGGUGAGUAACACGUGAGUAACCUGUCCUUGACUGUGGGAUAACUUCAGGAAACUGGGGCUAAUACCGGAUAGGAGCUCCUGCUGCAUGGUGGGGGUGGGAAAGUUUCGGUGGUUGGGGAUGGACUCGCGGCUCAUCAGCUUGUUGGAUGGGUAGUGGCUGAGCAAGGCUGUGACGGGUAGCCGGCCUGAGAGGGUAGCCGGCCCCGUUAGACCUGGGCUGCGGCCCGGCCUCCACCCGGACGCGACGGAGGGGAAUAUUACACAGUAGGCGGGAGCCUAAUCCGAUCCCGCCGCGUCCGGGAUGUCAGCCAUCCGGUUGUAAUCCACUUUCGCCUGUGACGAGACGUGAAUGACGGUACUGGGUAAAGAAGCACCGGCUAACUACGUG